UACGAAGGGGGCUAGCGUUGCUCGGAAUUACUGGGCGUAAAGCGCACGUAGGCGGCUUUCUAAGUCGGGGGUGAAAUCCUGGAGCUCAACUCCAGAACUGCCUUCGAUACUGGAAAGCUUGAGUCCGGGAGAGGUGAGUGGAACUGCGAGUGUAGAGGUGAAAUUCGUAGAUAUUCGCAAGAACACCAGUGGCGAAGGCGGCUCACUGGCCCGGUACUGACGCUGAGGCACGAAAGCGUGGGGAGCAAACAGG
Molecule: ribosomal RNA, 253 nt
Filed under: uncultured bacterium
Lineage: Bacteria
Description: partial 16S ribosomal RNA
Rfam family: Bacterial small subunit ribosomal RNA
Source: RNAcentral